Molecule: ribosomal RNA, 363 nt
Filed under: uncultured bacterium
Lineage: Bacteria
Description: bacterial SSU rRNA
Rfam family: Bacterial small subunit ribosomal RNA
Source: RNAcentral
GUGGCAAGCGUUGUUCGGAUUUACUGGGCGUACAGGGAGCGUAGGCGGUUCGGUAAGCCCUCUGUGAAAUCUCCAGGCUUAACCUGGAACAGUCGGAGGGGACUGCUGGGCUAGAGGACGGGAGAGGAGCGCGGAAUUCCCGGUGUAGCGGUGAAAUGCGUAGAGAUCGGGAGGAAGGCCGGUGGCGAAGGCGGCGCUCUGGAACGUUUCUGACGCUGAGGCUCGAAAGCGUGGGGAGCAAACAGGAUUAGAUACCCUGGUAGUCCACGCCUUAAACUAUGAAUACUAAGUGUCGGCGGUUUACCGCCGGUGCCGCAGCUAACGCAUUAAGUAUUCCGCCUGGGAAGUACGGCCGCAAGGUUG